RNAcentral lists this ribosomal RNA (253 nucleotides) under uncultured bacterium. RNAcentral describes it as "partial 16S ribosomal RNA". It matches the Rfam family "Bacterial small subunit ribosomal RNA", at positions 524 to 776 of the family's 1533-position model. The record is from RNAcentral.
UACAGAGGGUGCUAGCGUUGUUCGGAAUCAUUGGGCGUAAAGGGCGUGUAGGCGGUUUGUUAAGUCAUGUGUGAAAUCCCUCGGCUCAACCGGGGAACGACGCAUGAAACUGGCAAGCUAGAGUACCAAAGAGGGGGGUGGAAUUCCCGGUGUAGCGGUGAAAUGCGUAGAUAUCAGGAGGAAUACCGGUGGCGAAAGCGACUCUCUGGACGGUAACUGACGCUGAGGCACGAAAGCGUGGGGAGCAAACAGG